Molecule: ribosomal RNA, 469 nt
Filed under: uncultured bacterium
Lineage: Bacteria
Description: partial 16S ribosomal RNA
Rfam family: Bacterial small subunit ribosomal RNA
Source: RNAcentral
GACGAACGCUGGCGGCGUGCUUAACACAUGCAAGUCGAACGGAAAGGCCCUGCUUGCAGGGUGCUCGAGUGGCGAACGGGUGAGUAACACGUGGGUGAUCUGCCCCUUACUUUGGGAUAAGCCUGGGAAACUGGGUCUAAUACUGGAUAGGACCAUGCUGUAGGUGGUGUGGUGGAAAGAUUAGUUUCGGUAAGGGAUGAGCUCGCGGCCUAUCAGCUUGUUGGUGGGGUAAUGGCCUACCAAGGCGUCGACGGGUAGCCGGCCUGAGAGGGUGGACGGCCACAUUGGGACUGAGAUACGGCCCAGAAGCCUACGGGAGGCAGCAGUGGGGAAUAUUGCACAAUGGGAGCAAGCCUGAUGCAGCGACGCCGCGUGGGGGAUGACGGCCUUCGGGUUGUAAACUCCCUUCAGCCAUGACGAAGCCCUUGUGGUGACGGUAGUGGUAGAAGAAGCACCGGCUAACUACGUG